UCCGGUUUGUCACCGGCAGUCUCAUUAGAGUGCCCACCCGUAGUGCUGGCAACUAAGAUCAAGGGUUGCGCUCGUUGCGGGACUUAACCCAACAUCUCACGACACGAGCUGACGACAACCAUGCACCACCUGUCUCUCUUGUCCCGAAAGCCUAGACUAUCUCUAAUCUAUUCAAGAGGAUGUCAAGACCUGGUAAGGUUCUUCGCGUUGCUUCGAAUUAAACCACAUACUCCACUGCUUGUGCGGGUCCCCGUCAAUUCCUUUGAGUUUCAGUCUUGCGACCGUACUCCCCAGGCGGAAUGCUUACUGUGUUAACUUCGGCACCAAGGGUAUUGAAACCCCUAACACCUAGCAUUCAUCGUUUACGGCGUGGACUAC
This 378-nucleotide unclassified non-coding RNA is filed under the name uncultured Paenibacillaceae bacterium. RNAcentral describes it as "contains 16S-23S intergenic spacer region". Lineage: Bacteria; Bacillati; Bacillota; Bacilli; Caryophanales; Paenibacillaceae. The record is from RNAcentral.